UGGUCCCCUGUGGUGUAAAAUGUACGG
Molecule: non-coding RNA, 27 nt
Filed under: Rattus norvegicus (Norway rat)
Lineage: Eukaryota; Metazoa; Chordata; Mammalia; Rodentia; Muridae
Source: RNAcentral